Molecule: transfer RNA, 72 nt
Filed under: Camelus bactrianus (Bactrian camel)
Lineage: Eukaryota; Metazoa; Chordata; Mammalia; Artiodactyla; Camelidae
Also listed under: 1 other name
Rfam family: tRNA
About the family: Transfer RNA (tRNA) molecules are approximately 80 nucleotides in length. Their secondary structure includes four short double-helical elements and three loops (D, anti-codon, and T loops).
Source: Rfam by way of RNAcentral
AGGGAAAUAACUCAGUGGUAGAGCACAUGCUUAACAUGCAUGAGGUUCUGGGUUCAAUCCACAGUACCUCCA